Molecule: ribosomal RNA, 253 nt
Filed under: uncultured bacterium
Lineage: Bacteria
Description: partial 16S ribosomal RNA
Rfam family: Bacterial small subunit ribosomal RNA
Source: RNAcentral
UACGUAGGGUGCGAGCGUUGUCCGGAAUUAUUGGGCGUAAAGGGCUCGUAGGCGGUUUGUCGCGUCGGGCGUGAAAUCCACUGGCUUAACUGGUGGCUUGCUUUCGAUACGGGCAGACUGGAGGUAUGCAGGGGAGAACGGAAUUCCUGGUGUAGCGGUGAAAUGCGCAGAUAUCAGGAGGAACACCCGUGGCUAAGGCGGCUCUCUAGUACGGUACUGACGCUGAGACGCGAAAGCGUGGGGAGCGAACAGG